GGAAAGAUGCCAGAGUGGUCGAAUGGACCGCACUCGAAAUGCGGCGAGCGAGUCACAUUGCUCCUAGGGUUCGAAUCCCUAUCUUUCCG
Molecule: transfer RNA, 89 nt
Filed under: Salinivirgaceae bacterium
Lineage: Bacteria; Pseudomonadati; Bacteroidota; Bacteroidia; Bacteroidales; Salinivirgaceae
Description: tRNA-Ser
Rfam family: tRNA
About the family: Transfer RNA (tRNA) molecules are approximately 80 nucleotides in length. Their secondary structure includes four short double-helical elements and three loops (D, anti-codon, and T loops). Further hydrogen bonds mediate the characteristic L-shaped molecular structure. tRNAs have two regions of fundamental functional importance: the anti-codon, which is responsible for specific mRNA codon recognition, and the 3' end, to which the tRNAs corresponding amino acid is attached (by aminoacyl-tRNA synthetases). tRNAs cope with the degeneracy of the genetic code in two manners: having more than one tRNA (with a specific anti-codon) for a particular amino acid; and 'wobble' base-pairing, i.e. permitting non-standard base-pairing at the 3rd anti-codon position.
Source: RNAcentral